Molecule: long non-coding RNA, 1818 nt
Organism: Schistocerca cancellata (South American locust)
Lineage: Eukaryota; Metazoa; Arthropoda; Insecta; Orthoptera; Acrididae
Exons: 3
Source: RefSeq, a predicted model, not a curated record
UGUAGAGAUUCUUCAACAAAUACCAAAUCUGUCAUGUAAAUACUCAGCAGGCAGUAGGGGAUAAGCAGCAGCUAUUUAAUGUGCUUGAAGUAGUAAUAUCUUUUUGCAUACUAGUAGCUUUACUGUUAAUUAUAUAGUGUUAAAUUUAGUCUGAGUACACAUGAGUAGAAUAUGGCAGUAUAGUGAGUGGUAGUUUUUAUCAAUAUGAUAUACAGACUUACAAGGGAAUGGUUUGGUGUUCAAUGCUGAAAACUGCUUUGUAAUUUUCUUAGUCAUUUUUAGUUCAGCAUCAUGUGAAAACCAUUCGUAUUUUGUAACUGCUGAUUCACACUAGAAGUUAGCUGAGCAAAAAAUCACAAAAACACUAUUUCUUAGCAGAGCCCACACAAAUGAAUAAACUGGCUCCUCCGGAUGUUACUCACAUACUGUUGUUUCAACAAAUGUAGUGUGGUGAAUGGUCAUGGAAGUGUUGCAAACUGUCAGCACAACAUACACUGAAGAAGAACACUGCUCCAAUUCUGUGUUAAAAUGGAAUAGAACAGUCGUUUUCUGGAUCUUUCUUUUGAUUAUAGGUAAAUUUUUGAAUCACAUCAUUCUCACAUAAGUUUUAACUUCAAAAAAUAUCCUGCAAAUCCAGUUUCACAGUGCAGAUAUUUGUAUAUGUUUUGCUGCUAGCUGUGAAUAACUACAGCAGAUUUAGCUGAAGAACUAAUACAGGGGCCGAUGACCUAGCAGGUUGGUCCCUUCCCUCAUCUUUAAACCAACCAACCAACUAAUACAAAAAAACACACUUCUGAAGAUUAUCUGUUGUGGGGAAUUAUAAUGACAAUUUGUAUAUGAACUUUUAAACAGUUCAAACAGGUGUGUGCAGAAUCAAGAGAUCAAGAGUUUCUAAGACUUCAGUGCCACAGACAAGAAAAUAUGCAAAGCAAUGAUGUAUUGGUUGAACAACCUUGGUAAAAUACUUACAUUAGUGGUUGAAUGAAACCCAGGAUACUGCAUGUACUGGCUGAAUGAAACACAGGUAAUCCAUUCACUACAGAAGACCAAGACUGCAUGGCACAAUUACACCAUUACUGUCUACUAAACAAAAUAUAUUCCUGCGGAAUAUCAGGUCAGUCAUGUUAUUAGUUUAAAAAGUUUUUAGCGAGCAAGACUCAGUGCAGCGGAUAAAGAUCUUAAUAAAAUCAUUUUUCAGAUAAUGUCAGUAGCUCUCUGAGGCUAUUCUACAGACAAUUCUGCUAUAUAAAGGGGAUCCUUAGAAAUAUGCUUUGAAAUGCUGGAAUACGUGCAGAUGGUCAGCACUUGGAACAAAAACUGGCAAAUCAUCACUCAACAUGGCCAAUGCAAUGCCAUACUUAGCAAAACGAAGUCAGUUGCCAUAACGUGAUGAAGACGACGUUCAAGAAUGGCUGAGUGUCAACGAUGCAGAUCCACGGCACCAAAUCAUGCAGAUAGUGAAACUGUAAACCUCAUCACUGACAAAAAGGACACCACCAUUAUCUCAUCACCCAGUGGACCAGAAAACGAAGACGAAAAUAUACCAGCUGCUUCUGAAGCAUUUACAUGUUUAGAUACUGUCUUGUGAUGAUUUGCAUUUCAAGAAGAAAAUGACUAGUAUCAAAUAUUUAUACUGAAAAAAGUAUCUGGCUUGGCUGCUUGUAAGUGGAUAGGCUUCUUUAGACAGACAAAAAUUAAGGAUUUCUUUUAAGGGUUAAUUAUAUACCUACAUACUAUACAUGCAAAAUGCAUGUGUAUUACAUAAGUUUUUGUUUACAGGCCAUACUACAUACAUUUCAACUGUACUUGCCUUUGUAA